UCUGAUGGCGAGUGGCGAACGGGUGAGUAAUAUAUCGGAACGUGCCCUAGAGUGGGGGAUAACUAGUCGAAAGACUAGCUAAUACCGCAUACGAUCUAAGGAUGAAAGUGGGGGAUCGCAAGACCUCAUGCUCGUGGAGCGGCCGAUAUCUGAUUAGCUAGUUGGUGGGGUAAAAGCCUACCAAGGCAACGAUCAGUAGCUGGUCUGAGAGGACGACCAGCCACACUGGGACUGAGACACGGCCCAGACUCCUACGGGAGGCAGCAGUGGGGAAUUUUGGACAAUGGGGGCAACCCUGAUCCAGCAAUGCCGCGUGAGUGAAGAAGGCCUUCGGGUUGUAAAGCUCUUUUGUCAGGGAAGAAACGGUUCUGGAUAAUACCUGGAGCUAAUGACGGUACCUGAAGAAUAAGCACCGGCUAACUACGUGCCAGCAGCCGCGGUAAUACGUAGGGUGCAAGCGUUAAUCGGAAUUACUGGGCGUAAAGCGUGCGCAGGCGGUUGUGUAAGUCAGAUGUGAAAUCCCCGGGCUCAACCUGGGAAUUGCAUUUGAGACUGCACGGCUAGAGUGUGUCAGAGGGGGGUAGAAUUCCACGUGUAGCAGUGAAAUGCGUAGAUAUGUGGAGGAAUACCGAUGGCGAAGGCAGCCCCCUGGGAUAACACUGACGCUCAUGCACGAAAGCGUGGGGAGCAAACAGGAUU
Molecule: ribosomal RNA, 699 nt
Filed under: Herbaspirillum sp. EECC-296
Lineage: Bacteria; Pseudomonadati; Pseudomonadota; Betaproteobacteria; Burkholderiales; Oxalobacteraceae
Description: bacterial SSU rRNA
Rfam family: Bacterial small subunit ribosomal RNA
Source: RNAcentral